RNAcentral lists this transfer RNA (51 nucleotides) under Chromobacterium haemolyticum. RNAcentral describes it as "tRNA-Ser". It matches the Rfam family "tRNA", at positions 25 to 71 of the family's 71-position model. Rfam says of the family: Transfer RNA (tRNA) molecules are approximately 80 nucleotides in length. Their secondary structure includes four short double-helical elements and three loops (D, anti-codon, and T loops). Further hydrogen bonds mediate the characteristic L-shaped molecular structure. tRNAs have two regions of fundamental functional importance: the anti-codon, which is responsible for specific mRNA codon recognition, and the 3' end, to which the tRNAs corresponding amino acid is attached (by aminoacyl-tRNA synthetases). tRNAs cope with the degeneracy of the genetic code in two manners: having more than one tRNA (with a specific anti-codon) for a particular amino acid; and 'wobble' base-pairing, i.e. permitting non-standard base-pairing at the 3rd anti-codon position. Lineage: Bacteria; Pseudomonadati; Pseudomonadota; Betaproteobacteria; Neisseriales; Chromobacteriaceae. The record is from RNAcentral.
ACCGGCCUGUCACGCCGGGGGUCGCGGGUUCGAGUCCCGUCCACUCCGCCA